UACAGAGGUCUCAAGCGUUGUUCGGAUUCAUUGGGCGUAAAGGGCUCGUAGGCGGCCAACUAAGUCAUACGUGAAAGCCCCCGGCUUAACCGGGGAAUUGCGUCCUAAACUGGAUGGCUCGAGUGGGAUAGAGGUGUGUGGAACUUCCGGUGGAGCGGUGAAAUGUGUUGAUAUCGGAAGGAACGCCGGUGGCGAAAGCGACACACUGGGUCUCAACUGACGCUGAGGCACGAAAGCCAGGGGAGCGAACGGG
Molecule: ribosomal RNA, 253 nt
Filed under: uncultured bacterium
Lineage: Bacteria
Description: partial 16S ribosomal RNA
Rfam family: Bacterial small subunit ribosomal RNA
Source: RNAcentral